This 357-nucleotide ribosomal RNA is filed under the name uncultured Pseudomonas sp. RNAcentral's name for it is "bacterial SSU rRNA". It matches the Rfam family "Bacterial small subunit ribosomal RNA", at positions 1028 to 1382 of the family's 1533-position model. The record is from RNAcentral. Lineage: Bacteria; Pseudomonadati; Pseudomonadota; Gammaproteobacteria; Pseudomonadales; Pseudomonadaceae.
UCUGACACAGGUGCUGCAUGGCUGUCGUCAGCUCGUGUCGUGAGAUGUUGGGUUAAGUCCCGUAACGAGCGCAACCCUUGUCCUUAGUUACCAGCACGUUAUGGUGGGCGACUCUAAGGAGACUGCCGGUGACAAACCGGAGGAAGGUGGGGAGUGACGUCAAGUCAUCAUGGCCCUUACGGCCUGGGCUACACACGUGCUACAAUGGUCGGUACAAAGGGUUGCCAAGCCGCGAGGUGGAGCUAAUCCCAUAAAACCGAUCGUAGUCCGGAUCGCAGUCUGCAACUCGACUGCGUGAAGUCGGAAUCGCUAGUAAUCGUGAAUCAGAAUGUCACGGUGAAUACGUUCCCGGGCCUU